CCGUGGCAGGCAUUUUGCUGAAGUUCCAGAGUCCAGAAGUUCAGAAUCGGUAUCAUCACUGCGCAGAAGUCAGAUAUCAUCAGGCUCCAGGGGAGAAUCGUUUCCUCACCUUGCCCCCACCGGGCUUCCGGGGUCUGCGGCGGUUCAUCACUCCAGACAUCAAAGCCAGCAUCUUCAAAUCACUCUGCUCUGCCUUCAUGUUGCCUUCGCCUCUGUGUCACACCUCACUCUGCUUCUCUCUGACAAGGACACUGUG
Molecule: long non-coding RNA, 256 nt
Filed under: Heterocephalus glaber (naked mole-rat)
Lineage: Eukaryota; Metazoa; Chordata; Mammalia; Rodentia; Bathyergidae
Description: lncRNA (ENSHGLG00000033419.1)
Source: RNAcentral